Molecule: unclassified non-coding RNA, 328 nt
Filed under: soil metagenome
Description: partial contains 5.8S ribosomal RNA, internal transcribed spacer 2, and large subunit ribosomal RNA
Rfam family: 5.8S ribosomal RNA (bases 1-120)
Source: RNAcentral
GAUGAAGAACGUAGCGAAAUGCGAUAAGUAAUGUGAAUUGCAGAAUUCAGUGAAUCAUCGAAUCUUUGAACGCACAUUGCGCCCCUUGGAAUUCCGAGGGGCAUGCCUGUUCGAGCGUCAUUAUAACCCUCAAGCUCAGCUUGGUGUUGGGGCCUGCUGCACUGGCAGCCCUUAAAAUCAGUGGCGGCGCCAUCUGGCUCUAAGCGUAGUAAUUCUUCUCGCUAUGGAGUCCUGGUGGAUGCUUGCCAUCAACCCCCAAUUUUUCUAUGGUUGACCUCGGAUCAGGUAGGGAUACCCGCUGAACUUAAGCAUAUCAAUAAGCGGAGGA